This is a long non-coding RNA of Anthonomus grandis grandis, 363 nucleotides long. RefSeq lists it as uncharacterized. NCBI's taxonomy places the organism in Eukaryota, Metazoa, Arthropoda, Insecta, Coleoptera, Curculionidae. The transcript has 4 exons. The record is from RefSeq and is a predicted model, not a curated record.
UAUAUAUUCACGUGUUCAUCGCGCCAAUUUUAUAGGUUAUGUGAUUUCCCUGUGUAAAAGGUGUUGAUAUCAGGUGUAAUAUAUGUUUUUUUUUGUGUAAUUUGGCAAUUAGUGUCGUUGAUAUACAGUUUUAGAAGUAACUAUACCUAAAAUAAUAGUUAUUGACGACAUUUUGGACCAAAUAGCGCCUCUCUCAUUUUAUGAUUCCGAUGAAUCGGAUAAUGAGGACGAAGAAGAAAACAUGACGUUAGAACAAAUUAGACGCAAAAUGUUGCCUUAUACAAAUCAGGUUUUAGAAAUGUCUUCUAAACCAGCAUCAAAAAAAGGAGAAAACUUCAGCAUUCCCAGGUAAACCAUAAUACC